UACGAAGGGGGCUAGCGUUGCUCGGAAUUACUGGGCGUAAAGGGCGCGUAGGCGGGUUAUCAAGUUGGAGGUGAAAGCCCAGGGCUCAACCUUGGAAUUGCCUUCAAAACUGAUAGCCUAGAGUAUGAUAGAGGUAAGUGGAACUCCGAGUGUAGAGGUGAAAUUCGUAGAUAUUCGGAAGAACACCAGUGGCGAAGGCGACUUACUGGAUCAUGACUGACGCUGAGGCUCGAAAGCGUGGGGAGCAAACAGG
Molecule: ribosomal RNA, 253 nt
Filed under: uncultured bacterium
Lineage: Bacteria
Description: partial 16S ribosomal RNA
Rfam family: Bacterial small subunit ribosomal RNA
Source: RNAcentral